GCCCUUCAGGGGAAACUCCUCAAACCGGGCGUGGCGCCAGGGCUUAUGGGAAACGUAGUCCCAGGCUCGGUCGCCCGCCCGGCGCGGGGUCCGCCCAGGGUCUUGAGGGGCUCCGAGGCUCGCGGCGCACAUGCGUACUUCGUUCUCCGCGCGUCUGCCUCGGGUUCGCGCUCCCCGCCGAGGAAAUGCCGGGGCGCUCGGGAGGCUGGCGCCGCGCGAGUGGGAGCGGCGGGUGAACCCGGCCGGGUUCCAAGGAAGCAACCUCGAAGUGUGGAGCAGAAUCGCACCCUGUGGUCAUGUAUUUUGGUAUUUCUUGGCAUCUCAGAACUCAAGGCCAGGUUCCAGCCCCCUUGGAAGAAAGCAGCUUUUGUGAAGUAAGAAUGAAGGAAGCCCCAGGAAUAGGAAUCCCACCGUGAAGAUUGCUCCUCUGACCUCAGAUUUCUCACCACAGCUUUAGAGCAGAGGCAGGAAACUGGUAGUAAGGAGCAAGGCCUUGGUUUUCAUAAUCUGAAGUAGCAGCUCUUUAUUCUGCUCAGAAUGAGCAUGGCCUCACUUUCCCCAUACUCAGAGGGUCUCACGAUGAUGGUGAAAAGUCUGGACCAAGCUUCAGAAAAAAUAGCUGUACAUUCAACCUUCUCUGUACUUUACCAAAAGGAACAGAAAAAGAACAAAUCCCAGGGAUCAAUUUCAUUUGAGGAUGUGAUUGUAAACUUUACCAAGGAGGAGUGGAGUCAUUUGGACCCUGAUCUGAGGACCUUGUACAGGGAUGUGAUGUUGGAGAACUAUAGUAUCUUCAUCUCACUGGGUAAACAAAGCUUUUCUGAGUAACAUCAGGCUUGUCCUUUUGCUGUUACCAAAGCAUGUGGACCUUUUGUAGAGUUUAAUGAUACUUAGGUGUGGACACCAGGAAUAUUGUUUGUUUUUUCACAUACCCAUUGAAAGAUUCCAGUGGGGGCAGCCCCGGUGGCGCAGCGGUUUAGCGCCGCCUGCAGCCCAGGGCAUGAUCCUGGAGACCCCGGAUCGAGUCCCACCUUGGGCUUCCUGCAUGGAGCCCACUUCUCCCUCUGCCUGUGUGUCUGCCUGUCUACCCCCGCCCCCCAUCUCUGAACGAAUAAAUAAAUAAAUCUUAAAAAAAAAAAAAGAAAAGAAAAGAAAAGAAAGAUUCCAGUGGGUCCCUUCACUUCAUUUGCAGCUCCUGAAGCUGGACCUUGGUUUUUCUUCUGAGUUCCUAAAGCCAGGCAGCUUUUCAAAUGUCCUUUAUAAUUAAUUUUUCAUUAGCAGGACAUUGCAUUACCAAACCAGAGGAGAUCUUCAAGUUAGAGCAAGAAGCACCAUGGGUGUUAGAGAAAGAAUUUGCAAGCCAGUGUUACCCAGUCACAGAGAGAGAGAGAGAGAGAAGCAGAGACAUAGGCAGAGGAAGAAACAGGCUCCAUGCACUGG
RNA transcript from Canis lupus familiaris (dog), 1440 nucleotides. It is a transcript of the gene named zinc finger protein 248-like, with no coding region annotated. Lineage: Eukaryota; Metazoa; Chordata; Mammalia; Carnivora; Canidae. The record is from RefSeq and is a predicted model, not a curated record. The transcript is spliced from 6 exons.